GUGUAUUAGAUACCCGGGUAGUCCACGCCGUAAACGUUGGGCGCUAGGUGUGGGGUCCUUCCACGGAUUCCGUGCCGCAGCUAACGCAUUAAGCGCCCCGCCUGGGGAGUACGGCCGCAAGGCUAAAACUCAAAGGAAUUGACGGGGGCCCGCACAAGCGGCGGAGCAUGUUGCUUAAUUCGACGCAACGCGAAGAACCUUACCAAGGUUUGACAUACAGGGAAAAGCCGUAGAGAUAUGGUGUCCGUAAGG
RNAcentral lists this ribosomal RNA (252 nucleotides) under uncultured bacterium. RNAcentral's name for it is "partial 16S ribosomal RNA". It matches the Rfam family "Bacterial small subunit ribosomal RNA", at positions 773 to 1024 of the family's 1533-position model. The record is from RNAcentral.